UACGUAGGUCCCGAGCGUUGUCCGGAUUUAUUGGGCGUAAAGCGAGCGCAGGUGGUUUAUUAAGUCUGGUGUAAAAGGCAGUGGCUCAACCAUUGUAUGCAUUGGAAACUGGUAGACUUGAGUGCAGGAGAGGAGAGUGGAAUUCCAUGUGUAGCGGUGAAAUGCGUAGAUAUAUGGAGGAACACCGGUGGCGAAAGCGGCUCUCUGGACUGUAACUGACGUUGAGGCCCGAAAGCGUGGGGAGCAAACAGG
This 252-nucleotide ribosomal RNA is filed under the name uncultured bacterium. Its description in RNAcentral is "partial 16S ribosomal RNA". It matches the Rfam family "Bacterial small subunit ribosomal RNA", at positions 524 to 776 of the family's 1533-position model. The record is from RNAcentral.